Molecule: non-coding RNA, 1340 nt
Organism: Cricetulus griseus (Chinese hamster)
Lineage: Eukaryota; Metazoa; Chordata; Mammalia; Rodentia; Cricetidae
Source: RefSeq, a predicted model, not a curated record
GCCCACAGCAGCAAGCAUCUCCCAUCUUUCUACAACUAUGAAAGGAUUACAGGAGUUGAGUGACAGACCUUCAUGGAGACCUAGGAAGUCAACAUGUCAAGGAAUACUCACUCACAUGGAGAGUCAGCUGCCCUGACACAGUGCUCACAGGGGUUCAUGUGCUCCAGACAGUCGACUGCCAGAGGAAUAACAUCAGUGGGAAAGAGGCAGAUCUCUUGCAGGGCCAUUACUGUAUUCAGCUCUUACUGGGUACCAGACUCCAUGUUAAAUGUUUUACAACAGCCAUUAAGCUGGUUCUACGUCCUGUCCGCACCUCUCCUUGACAGAUAUCGCACAGCUCUGGUAUCUCCAACAUCUUUGGAUCUCUAACACAAUUCAGGCUUCACUUCACAAUGGUGUCUCUGGACCCAUGUGCAGAGGGACUCCCCCGACUGCACAGGUCUGGCUUCAGUGGCUCUCCUUAACCACAGGGAAGAUUCCACAAGCCCUUUGCUUCUGUAUCCUUCAUGACUCUAAACUCAGAACCAUGAGGCAGAAGCUGUUAGGCUCCACUCCUUGUUUGUGCUAGAACCUCGAUGCCUCCUUGAAUUGCAUUUGCAUAAGAUUUGUUUUGGUUUUUGCUUUAGUAACAGUUAUCCUUAGGCAUUUUCAUAUUACAAGGUGGAAGUUUAGCCCUGGGUGGGGUCUUGCCCUGAGGUUACCACUCCCUUUAUUGCAUUUCCCAUCAAGCCUCUCAUUUCCUUCAGCAUAAGCCUUGGCUCCAAUGUUAAAUUUCCUGGAUGGCCUUUUUCUCCUUCAACUGUACAUUUUUUGUUUCUUUUUGCACUACUUGCUCUUUUUCAUUGUAGAUCUUCAUAAGAGUGAUUACUAAUAACCAAGUGACAGAGCUAUUAUCAGGCUGUCUUGAAAUCUCUGCCAGUGAAAUUAGUCCAAAACUCUCCAGUUUAGUGUCGGGUAGCUUAUUAAGACGAGGGCAAAAAGCAGCCACAUUCUUUGCCCCAUUACUAAUGUUAGUCCCCACUGAAACCUCUUGAGCAUGGCCUCCUCCAUAGUCAACAUUGCUCUUAGCAUGACCAUCUCCAAAGCUUCUAAUGAUAAUGACCAAUUAAGCCCUGCUUACAGAGUUCAACUGUUUUCCUAGCCCCAAAUCCCAAAGCCUUCCACAUUCCUCCCAAAUACAGCAUGGUACAGCCUGUCACAGCAAUAGCCUACUCCCUGGCAUAAGCUUCUUGCUUAGUUACUCUUUUACUACUGGGACAAAACACAAUUGUUAGUAUUCAGGCAUCUGCACUGGCCUGUCCUUGGGGUUCUGACAGGAUAUGCCCUUAGCUGAAGCUACU